This is a long non-coding RNA of Hemicordylus capensis (graceful crag lizard), 1183 nucleotides long. RefSeq lists it as uncharacterized. The record is from RefSeq and is a predicted model, not a curated record. NCBI's taxonomy places the organism in Eukaryota, Metazoa, Chordata, Lepidosauria, Squamata, Cordylidae. The transcript has 6 exons.
GAUAAACAGAAAUCCCUUUGUGUUCCAAGGUGAAAGCAUGAAAGGAACCGAGAAAUGAUGCACCAGUUUUCCCCCACCUCCCUUAAAAAGAGAACACUUAUUUGAGCAUAUGAAAGGUGGAUUAAGACGUUACACGGAUCCUGAAGUCCACGUGACCUCCCUCAAUAACCAAGAUGGCAAGAAUCAAGUCCUAGAAGGAACGACUGAAGGAGCUGGGGAGCAUAUUCCAGAGCCCUGGGGUAGCCACAGAGAAGGCCCAGCCUGGAGUUGCCAGAAAACGAGCCGGUGUCAUCCAUAACCAUAUCUCUCCAGAAUUUGCAUUCUAUCCACCGAUAGGGAGGAAGUCCCUGAUGCCCUGCAACAAGGUGGAGUAGUCUCAAGAGAACCCAUCCAUCUCCAUGCCACAGUCUUGGCUGACUUUGGAAUAAUUACUGGGGAAUUCAAGAGCCUUGGAUCCCACCCUAAUGAAAGCAAAUGGCACCAAGUGGUAUGAUGCAGAUGGAGUCUCAGCACAAACAGUCCCGGGCAUGGAAUUACUGGCUAGUCCACAGAAAAACUUUUCCAGGGCAUGUAAGGGAAGAAAAGGAUUUCCAGACUUGGCAGAAAGAGCGUGCAUUUGCUUGGAGGGCUUGCAACAAUGGUUAUAGCGUCUCUCUUCUGCAUCUGAAACAAACCUGGAAAUGUUAUGAUCCUUAUGGACACAAAACCGGAGCACCUGUGGAUGAGAGAGGGGUACCAGCAGAUGUGAGGUAACCUGCAGGUUCUAAAGAUUUCAGAGUGCAAUUAUGGUCCAUUUAAAAUGAACAAGAAUUUCAUGAUUGACUCCAGGGUUGAACUCUGCAGGAUUUAAAAGACUCCCGCUUAUGGUCCUUGGAGGCUAGCACCUCCACUGUCUUCUGUGGAAUUACAGUACUCUUGACUGAUAUCAGGAACUCCAGAUGACCCUACAGGCAAGUCUUUUAUUUCCAUUGGCACAACUUUAGGCAACAGACCUCUGUCUUUCAUUUCUCUGGGGCUGUCAGUUCAGAGGAUGCGUUAGAUAUGCCAAAGGUGAGCGGGUAGGAAAAGUUUGAAUUGCUUCUGCUCUCUAUGUACCUCCUACUGGAUGUUCAGAUCUUACAGUUCUACUGGGAAAUUUAAGGACUUUUAUCAAUUACCCUGAUAAAUAAAUUGAUCAAGACAU